UCGAGGAUCUUCGGCAAUGGGCGCAAGCCUGACCGAGCGACGCCGCGUGGAUGAUGAAGGCCUUCGGGUUGUAAAAUCCUGUCGAGGGGGAUAAAGGCGCAAGCUUGAUAUAUCCCUGGAGGAAGCACGGGCUAAGUUCGUGCCAGCAGCCGCGGUAAGACGAACCGUGCAAACGUUGUUCGGAAUCACUGGGCUUAAAGGGCGCGUAGGCGGCUUGCCAAGUCGGUGGUGAAAUCCUGCAGCUUAACUGUAGAAGUGCCUCCGAUACUGGCAAGCUCGAGGGAGGUAGGGGUCUGUGGAACUUCUGGUGGAGCGGUGAAAUGCGUUGAUAUCAGAAGGAACGCCGGUGGCGAAAGCGACGGACUGGAUCUCAUCUGACGCUGAGGCGCGAAAGCCAGGGGAGCAAACGG
Molecule: ribosomal RNA, 410 nt
Filed under: uncultured bacterium
Lineage: Bacteria
Description: bacterial SSU rRNA
Rfam family: Bacterial small subunit ribosomal RNA
Source: RNAcentral